RNAcentral lists this RNase MRP RNA (250 nucleotides) under Trifolium pratense (red clover). RNAcentral describes it as "SRP RNA RNase_MRP". It matches the Rfam family "RNase MRP". From Rfam's summary of the family: RNase MRP is an enzymatically active ribonucleoprotein with two distinct roles in eukaryotes. In mitochondria it plays a direct role in the initiation of mitochondrial DNA replication. In the nucleus it is involved in precursor rRNA processing, where it cleaves the internal transcribed spacer 1 between 18S and 5.8S rRNAs. The record is from Rfam by way of RNAcentral. Lineage: Eukaryota; Viridiplantae; Streptophyta; Magnoliopsida; Fabales; Fabaceae.
AUGGAUUGAGACGAUGUGGAUGGGCCCGUGCUAAGUGCUGGGCUCAGGAAAGUCCCCGGGCCCAUACUGCAGAAACGCAGGCCUGGAAACAGGUAAUCUUUGAGCUGGGGCUGGUUCACACUUUCGGGUGUGUGGGCUGAGACAUGUGUGGAGCCUAUGCCAGUCCCGCCAAAGUAAAUUGGCCGACAAUAUACAGUCAUUCACAUGGUCCGUAACGGACUAACAGAACGGGGCUUACGUCUGUGAUCCA